AUUGAACGCUAGCGGCAUGCCUUACACAUAGGCAAGUCGAACGGCAGCACGGGGGCAACCUGGUGGCGAGUGGCGAACGGGUGAGUAAUGCGAUCGGAACGUGCCCAUCGGAUGGGGGAUAACUGCGCGAAAGCGUUGCUAAUACCGCAUACGACUACGGGUGAAAGCAGGGGACCGCAAGGCCUUGCGUCGAUGGAGCGGCCGAUGCCGGAUUAGCUAGUUGGUGAGGUAAAGGCUCACCAAGGCGACGAUCCCGUAGCUGGUCUGAGAGGACGACCAGCCACACUGGGACUGAGACACGGCCCAGACUCCUACGGGAGGCAGCAGUGGGGAAUCUUGGACAAUGGGCGAAAGCCUGAUCCAGCAAUGCCGCGUGUGGGAAGAAGGCCCUCGGGUUGUAAACCACUUUUGGCGGGAAAGAAAUGGUCUGUGCUAAUACCACGGAUUGAUGACGGUACCGCAGAAUAAGCACCGGCUAACUACGUG
This 486-nucleotide ribosomal RNA is filed under the name uncultured bacterium. RNAcentral describes it as "bacterial SSU rRNA". It matches the Rfam family "Bacterial small subunit ribosomal RNA", at positions 29 to 507 of the family's 1533-position model. The record is from RNAcentral.